Molecule: non-coding RNA, 72 nt
Organism: Araneus ventricosus
Lineage: Eukaryota; Metazoa; Arthropoda; Arachnida; Araneae; Araneidae
Source: the annotation of a GenBank genome assembly
GCCUCCGUGGCGCAAUCGCUUGCGCGUUCAGAUGGAAACUGAAUGGUUGGUGGAUCGAGCCCGCUGUGGGCA